Molecule: long non-coding RNA, 390 nt
Organism: Magnolia sinica
Lineage: Eukaryota; Viridiplantae; Streptophyta; Magnoliopsida; Magnoliales; Magnoliaceae
Exons: 2
Source: RefSeq, a predicted model, not a curated record
UAAGCAUUUGUUGUUAUUGUUUGUUUUAGAUUUCCUUACGUUUCUGAUAUGGUCCAUAUAUUUAUACCCAGCCAUGCCGGAGCUAUUACGCUCAGUGAAGUUAGCUGUAGAGAAGGGGCAAGCACAAGGUCGUGAUGAGUCCUAUGUCAAGCAGCUAUCGGAUUACAUAAUUCUUGCUCUAGUUGAAGCUUUACACAAGGAGCCCGAGACCGAGAUUUGUGCGAGCAUGUUGGAUUCAUUGAAUGAAUGUAUACAGGUUUGUAAUUUCUUUUGUUGCAUUAUGCAUUUUAUUUAGAACAUGAACUCUGAAGCAUACUGAUCCAUUUUGUGCUUGUGCUUUCUUAUUGAAUUAUUUAAUGAUUCUUACUUGUGGUGUGUGUGUGUGUGUGU